RNAcentral lists this long non-coding RNA (281 nucleotides) under Trifolium pratense (red clover). Its description in RNAcentral is "long non-coding RNA (TPRA_LNC008158)". The record is from RNAcentral. Lineage: Eukaryota; Viridiplantae; Streptophyta; Magnoliopsida; Fabales; Fabaceae.
AAGAAGGGGAAUAGAUCUUUCAAUCUAGUUUUCAUUUUUUAAUUUCAACCGUUGAUUAGUUUCUAUUCCACGUGUCACUCAUCCAUCAAAACAAUUGGAAAAAUGAAGCAUAUAUGACUGUAGUGGAUCUCAACUCCAAUGCCACCUGUCAAUAGUUAACGUCUUCGAGAAAAAAUGGAUGGAAAGGACCAAUGUGGCAACAAUGAUAUUAAUAAGGGACCAAUCUAGACUGUUUUUUCUUUAAGGGACCAUUAUGAGACCUAAAAUAUCUUUAAGGGACC